Long non-coding RNA from Hippocampus comes (tiger tail seahorse), 91 nucleotides. RefSeq lists it as uncharacterized. The transcript has 3 exons. The record is from RefSeq and is a predicted model, not a curated record. Lineage: Eukaryota; Metazoa; Chordata; Actinopteri; Syngnathiformes; Syngnathidae.
AUGGUUUCGUGCUAACUGUAGUCCUCGUUUCUUGUUUUCUUCUUGAGUAUAUGCCUUGGAAAGCAUCGUCUUUCUUGUUUGGGACUGAAAA